CAAUAGCGUAUAUUAAAGCUGUUGCGGUUAAAAAGCUCGUAGUUGGAUUUCUGUCAAGGACAACUGGUCCGCCCUCCGGGUGAGCACAUAGUUUGGUCUUGGCAUCUUGCUGGAAGCUGUUGCUGCACUUGGCUGUGUGGCGCAGCGUCCAGCACUUUCACUUUGAGGGAAUUGGAGUGUUUCAAGCAGGCACAUGCCUUUGGACACAGUAGCAUGGAAUAAUUAGAUUGGGCUUUUGCUCCAAUUUGUCGGUUUCUGGAGCUGAGGUGAGAAUUAAUGGGGAUUGUUUGGGGCAUCCGAAUUUAGCCGUCAGAGGUGAAAUUCUUGGAUCUGCUAAAGACGGACAACUGCGAAAGCGUUUGCCCAGGAUGUUUUCAUUGA
This 381-nucleotide ribosomal RNA is filed under the name uncultured eukaryote. Its description in RNAcentral is "partial 18S ribosomal RNA". It matches the Rfam family "Eukaryotic small subunit ribosomal RNA", at positions 592 to 976 of the family's 1831-position model. The record is from RNAcentral.